This is a long non-coding RNA of Orbicella faveolata, 1425 nucleotides long. The record is from RefSeq and is a predicted model, not a curated record. NCBI's taxonomy places the organism in Eukaryota, Metazoa, Cnidaria, Anthozoa, Scleractinia, Merulinidae.
UGCAUUGUAUGGAGAAAUAACCACGGUUUUAAAGUUUAGUGGUUUUUUUUCAUGGAAAUUUGCUGUUUGUUGAUAGUGUUAGUGGCUCUAAAGCAUUGUGUAUGAUUGUCUUUGUGGCUCACGUGAUUCCAAAGCAGUUAACCAUUUCUACAUGUACCAGUAUUAAAUACAUAUCUUUACAACAUAAAGCCAUUCUGAAGAUAUCAGUUAUUUUCCUUGCCUAUUAAAAAAUUUCUUUAUUAGCAUUUUGGGGACAUACAUAUACUGCUGAAUGUGUAUGAGCCGACAUUUUUUCUCAAAAUGCACUCUAAAAAGUGGUAGUUGUAUUGAAAAGUAUUUUUUUCGGCUGGGUCAGGCUGAGCAUGAGAUGGGGUGGUACAGUUGAGCAAGUAUCAAACCCCAGCUGGUCUGUUUAAACCCAUGACAGGGAUGUAAAGCAGACUGUCUAUCUGCCAGAAGUGCCCAUGUCUCUCAAAAGCAUUCAAUAUGUGUUGAAGUACAAUGUAAAUGUCAAUCAACUAUGGAUGAAUAUAUACAGUAUAUCAGGUGUCAGAUCACCAUGUGUUGCAUAUGGAUGCUUGUACUGCUGCUUUGACUCUACAUGUACAUUUCCGAUUUAGAGCUAUGAUCACUAUCAACAGUAGCAGCAACAACAAUGCACCUGUGUUUUUAUUUAUUACUUAAGCUCUCCUCUGCAUAAGUGUUCUAAUGUUGAUUAGCUAGUUAAGAAAUAAAAUAACAGCUCUAGUCACUUGCUAUUUUAAUUUUUACAAGCAUUUAUUGCAUUACAUAAAGAAAAGUAAUUGUCUAAAAUGAGACUCACAUCUACUGCAAUCAGAUUAGAGCUAUUUUGUACAUGUGGAGGCAUGCUGUUUGUGUAUGUUUGUUCCAUCCUAUUUUGAUGUUUUCAUGUUCUUGUUUACUCUUGUCACCUUUUUUUCUUUGUACAAUUCUUUCUUGUUUCAUUCGUUACUUUAAAGCUGAUUUUUAUGUUUUGGAUUGAUUUAUAGUUUUAAACCAUGUAUUCCAACCUGUGGCAUCCUUUGCAGGAAAAUAAGCACUUAGUUGUUUGUCUCGUAUAGGUAUUUUAAGGUCUAUGACACAGAAGAUAGACAGGGUCUCCUAGAAGCCUACCACGAUCAGGCAAUAUUCUCCAUGUGUGUGAAUCCAGAAACAUUGCUGAAGGACCGCAGUGGUCACAGGGGCCCAUCUCUGGGAGAGUACCUGAAGAACAGCCGAAACAUGAAGCGAGUCACGGAAUUAGGUAAUUGAAAGAUUCUAUUUGGUUGUCUUGUUAUGAAAACCAUCUAACAAUAGGUUCAUGUUUCUGUCAUGAACACCAGUUUCUCAAUAAGUUACUUAGCUGAUCAUGUCAUCAGUAGGUGUUAAUUGGUUUUAAGUAUUAUUAUUUUGUACAUAACAGGA